GGAUGUGAGGGUGAUCUGGCUGCGACAUCUGUCACCCCAUUGAUCACCAGGGUUGACUUGGCUGAUCUGGCUGGCUAGGCGGGUGUCCCCUUCCUCACUCACAGCUCCAUGUGUGUCCCUCCCAAAGCUGCGCGCUCGGUCGAAGAGGACGGCCUUCCCCGAAUAGAGACGGGCCCUGCUAGAACCUCCAAACAAGCUCUCCAGAUUUCUGGGCCUUGACUUCCUAGAACUGACCAGACUAUCUCCCCAUCCCUUGGGGUAUUCUGAUUUCCCUGCCAGCCCUUCUAAACUUGCCCCAAAG
Molecule: small RNA, 301 nt
Filed under: Erinaceus europaeus (western European hedgehog)
Lineage: Eukaryota; Metazoa; Chordata; Mammalia; Eulipotyphla; Erinaceidae
Description: 7SK RNA (ENSEEUG00000020750.1)
Rfam family: 7SK RNA (bases 1-184)
About the family: 7SK was discovered as an abundant small nuclear RNA in the mid-70s but a possible function has only recently been suggested. Two independent studies have found that 7SK RNA binds the CDK9/cyclin T complex (known as elongation factor P-TEFb). P-TEFb activates transcription by phosphorylating the C-terminal domain of RNA polymerase II.
Source: RNAcentral